RNA transcript from Ananas comosus (pineapple), 1726 nucleotides. It is a transcript of the gene named probable UDP-3-O-acyl-N-acetylglucosamine deacetylase 2, with no coding region annotated. The record is from RefSeq and is a predicted model, not a curated record. The transcript is spliced from 9 exons. NCBI's taxonomy places the organism in Eukaryota, Viridiplantae, Streptophyta, Magnoliopsida, Poales, Bromeliaceae.
CAUUGCUGCAGCAGCAUUAAUGUGUGUCCAAGAGAGUGCUGCAGGUCGAUCCACCAUGCUAAGUAGUGACAGUAAUAAGAGCUUAAUCGAUUCGAAGCAGCCAGCUUAUUUCAAUGUAAAAAGUAAAGCUGAAGAAGGAAUGUUAUCAGUGUUAAGAGGUGACAUAUGAACUCUUUUAAAUCUAUAUGCAUAUUUGUCACGCCAAGAACUCUGUUCUUUAUAGAAGAUGAAAAUAUGAAACGCUCUUUGAUCAGCAUCAUGCGCCUCCGCCGCUCCCUCUCCACAUGUACCCAAACCCUUAAAUCCCUCUCCGUCCCCCGCUCCCGCGCCCUCUCAUGGAUCCCGACGGGGAAGCUCCAACAAACCCUAGCCUCGUCGAUCGCCGUGUCGGGGACGGGGCUCCACUCCGGCGCCGGCGCCACCGCGCGGCUCCUCCCGGCGAUGGCCGGAGAGGGGCGGUACUUCGUCGCCGGCGCCUCCGCGCGGGCGAGGAUCCCCGCGGCGGUGGAGCACGCCGUGGACUCGCCGCUCUGCACCGCGCUGUGCCGCGGCGGCGCGCGGGUGCGCACCGUGGAGCACCUCCUCUCGGCGCUCGAGGCAAUGGGCGUCGACAAUUGCAGGAUCGAGAUCGAGGGCGGCGAUGAGGUUCCUUUAUUAGAUGGAUCGGCAAAAGAAUGGGUGGAGGCAAUAGAGCAUGUUGGCUUAUGCGCUGCUGAGGAUUCUAAUGGUAAUAAUAUGGAUAAGCUAGUAGCUGAACUCCAUGUGCCAGUAUAUUUAUGGCGGGAUGGUGCUUUCAUUGUUGCCUUUCCUUCUUCAAAGAUUCACAUCACCUAUGGAAUCGAUUUCCCUAAGGUUCCUGUGAUUGGCUGCCAGUGGUUCUCUUCUUUCCUUGAUAGUUGUAUGUAUGCAAAUGAAAUAGCUUCUUCCAGAACUUUUUGUAUUUAUGAAGAGGUUGAAAAAAUGCGCAGCGCUGGGCUCAUUAAAGGAGGAUCAGCUAGUAAUGCUAUUGUUUGCAGUAUAACUGGUGGUUGGUUAAAUCCGCCUCUUCGCUUUCAUGAUGAACCUUGUCGGCAUAAGCUUUUAGAUCUUGUGGGUGACAUCUCUCUUUUUGCACAGAAUGGUAAUCAAGGGCUUCCACUCGCUCAUAUUAUUGCAUAUAAGGCUGGGCAUUCAUUGCACACCGGAUUCGUACGGCGCCUUCGAGAAUAUGCUGAUGUAUAAAAGAGAAAGCUUGACUUGGAAAAUCAAAUUGCUAAUUAUGCUACUUGAUUGGCAUCUACCUUCAGUUGAAGUUCAUGACAAUUUGAAGCAUAUUUUGCCAGAAUUUUUUAUGAUGGUAGUCUCAACAGCCUCUGAACUUUACAAGAGCUCUGUUAAAUAUUCUCGCACUGAUAGUGACCUUUGAGGAUGUUAGCCAGCACUGAGGAGGAAUCACAUUCAAACCCUAUCCUUUUGGUCUACAACACUCUCACGGACUUAGAAAUUUUGCUCACAAAAUUCAUGUGGCGCCUACCUUUCUCAGUAAAGAUGGAUAAGUUUUGCUCUCUAUUUGAUAUCCUGAAUCUUCGCGUCCUACGACUAAGUGCAAAAAAGAGAAACCGCGACACUAUGCUUCUGCUACUUCUGCAUUAUCUUAUGGACAAUUUUAAAUUUGCAUAUCUGUGGUUUAACUCAUUUUUUACUUUGUUAUUCUUUGAUUUAACAAGUCAUUCUUGGCUAUUCUGCG